This is a long non-coding RNA of Vespa crabro (European hornet), 1279 nucleotides long. RefSeq lists it as uncharacterized. NCBI's taxonomy places the organism in Eukaryota, Metazoa, Arthropoda, Insecta, Hymenoptera, Vespidae. The record is from RefSeq and is a predicted model, not a curated record. The transcript is spliced from 3 exons.
AGAAUUUCAAAAUGGAAUAGCAAAAAAGAAAGAAGAAAUAUCCUUUAUUCGCGGAAACAACGAGAGUCUGAUUUGAGAAUGUCGCGUGCCUGCACGUUUCUCAGGUGUGUACGUUAAACAUAAGAGACGUAUCGCUACGCACAAGACUCGAAUAAUCUACCAACUGUAAGAUUAUUAUUCCCUUUUUUCUUCGUCUCGUUGUAUCUUUCUUUGCCAAAUCUCGUUUUACUCAGAGAUGUUUUAUUUAAGUGCGAUCUACCUUCCUGACCCAAGAACAAUAGAAUGACUUUCUGAAAUUGAAAUUCGAAUCACGUUUCCGGAUAACAUUACAACGUCAGCCAUUCAACGCAAAACUGAAGAAUCGAAUUCCAUGAGUCGUCUGAAAGUUCUUUUUCUCUUAUCCGUUAUAAAUUUUUCUUCAUUUCCGUUUAUUCUGAUAUUACAUAAAUCAUUGAUCAUAUGAAAAAUCUUGGUUGAAACAGAGCGCAAAAUUUAAUUAUCCUUAAAACUCUAUGGAUACGUUGAAAAUUCAGAAAGAGCAGAUGUCGUCGAUGGGGAAAACGAGAUUUUGUAGCAGGUGUAGAUCGGACGACAGGUGAACGUGGCACGAUUCUUGAUUAUCUCGAAACGACGUGAAGAGAAGGCGUUAAAUCGAAAAGUCAUUGCUGCGGCUUCUCGAUAUAUCAUCGAAUAUUAUCUAUAUUAUAUAUCGUAUAUACAUGUAUAUAUAAAGAUUUUUAUGGAGACUCGAGGGUUGCUUAGAGUUAAUAUCUUAUGACGGAAACCUGAGAAAGGGAUGAAGUCCGACAAAUUCACGUCCUUUCUUUUCAAGUCGAGACGUCUGGUUGGAGCUCUAUAAGAAUUAAUGAUGUUAUACUAUCGAUCCAAACGAUACGGAGAAAUAAAUUAGUUAAUUUAAAAAAUAAACAAAAACAAAAAACAAAUAAAAGCAAAAUAAACAAAAGGAGACUUGUCUUUUUGAUUAUUAUGCUUUAUACGUUCAUAUCUUUAUAUACUUUGGGUUUUCCCAGGACAAAGCGAUUUCCGAGUUGAUAUCAUGACUUCUGGUAAAUAAGCUGCGUAGAAGACAACGAACGAUCUCGCUGAAUACUAAAAGGCUCCCCUUGGCUCGUCCAUGAGAACAGUGCGUGGUCGAGCUUCUCGAAAAUAUUCUUCAUGUUAGGUAUACGAGUAUCUUCUUCGUCAGUCUUUUUCAGUAUUUUUUCAUUCAGAGUUAACUAGAAUUAUAAUGGAGAAUAUGACCACGUGAUAUUUAACU